UACGUAGGGGCCUAGCGUUGUCCGGAAUUAUUGGGCGUAAAGAGCUCGUAGGCGGUUCGGCAAGUCGGAUGUGAAAUCUCCACGCUUAACGUGGAGGGGCCAUUCGAAGCUGCUGUGACUCGAGUCCGGUAGGGGAGUGUGGAAUUCCCGGUGUAGCGGUGAAAUGCGCAGAUAUCGGGAGGAACACCAGUAGCGAAGGCGGCACUCUGGGCCGGUAUUGACGCUGAGUGAGCGAAAGCCAGGGGAGCAAACGGG
Molecule: ribosomal RNA, 255 nt
Filed under: uncultured bacterium
Lineage: Bacteria
Description: partial 16S ribosomal RNA
Rfam family: Bacterial small subunit ribosomal RNA
Source: RNAcentral